GCGCUCUGUUAGUUUGCAGGAAGAGUUCUCUCCUUUACGCAAUGACCAGAUGUCAAUAAGAAGAGUUCAAUUGUCAAGGUAAUAUUUAUUCUGCAUACAAACCGUUUUAUUAACAUUGCUCUCUACUGUGACGUCUUUGCUUUAAUAUUCUGUAGCCCUAAUAAGAGCUUUCACGUAUGAGAGCAUUGCUACCCCAGUGCAUAUUGAAUAGAGGUGUUUUAUAUGCCAUGAAGCAGUUAUAUAUACUAUAUAUAGUGAGUCAGUAAGCAUGGUGUUGGAUAUUAUUUCUAGUAGUAAAAUGUGAAUUCUAGAAUAAAAAUGUGAAUUAUUUCUCUUCAGCAGCAAAAACAUUGGAAAAUUAUUGUGCAAAUCAAAGCAAAUGGUUCUAUUCGUCACCUGCAGACAUACACUGAACAGACAUAUAUGUUUUAUUUCAUGACUGAAUAGAGGAGCCGCACUCAAUUCCGUUUGACACCAGGUGCACUGAAGCAGGACCAGCAAUCCCACAACGCUCAGGCAAACAGAAGAAUGGUCUCCAGGCACUCAAGGUGUUCAAACUCAAGCUUGACAAAGACCUCAUAGCAGGUCGAAACGUUACUUUUUUUGAC
This 608-nucleotide long non-coding RNA is filed under the name Pelobates cultripes (western spadefoot toad). The record is from RNAcentral. Lineage: Eukaryota; Metazoa; Chordata; Amphibia; Anura; Pelobatidae.